GACGAACGCUGGCGGCGUGCUUAACACAUGCAAGUCGAACGGAAAGGCCCUGCUUUUGUGGGGUGCUCGAGUGGCGAACGGGUGAGUAACAAGUGAGUAACCUGCCCUUGACUUUGGGAUAACUUCAGGAAACUGGGGCUAAUACCGGAUAGGAGCUCCUGCUGCAUGGUGGGGGUUGGAAAGUUUCGGCGGUUGGGGAUGGACUCGCGGCUUAUCAGCUUGUUGGGGGGGUAGUGGCUUACCAAGGCUUUGACGGGUAGCCGGCCUGAGAGGGUGACCGGCCACAUUGGGACUGAGAUACGGCCCAGACUCCUACGGGAGGCAGCAGUGGGGAAUAUUGCACAAUGGGCGGAAGCCUGAUGCAGCAGCGCCGCGUGCGGGAUGACGGCCUUCGGGUUGUAAACCGCUUUCGCCUGUUACGAAGCGUGAGUGACGGUAAUGGGUAAAGAAGCACCGGCUAACUACGUG
This 468-nucleotide ribosomal RNA is filed under the name uncultured bacterium. Its description in RNAcentral is "partial 16S ribosomal RNA". It matches the Rfam family "Bacterial small subunit ribosomal RNA", at positions 28 to 507 of the family's 1533-position model. The record is from RNAcentral.